This 372-nucleotide ribosomal RNA is filed under the name uncultured organism. RNAcentral's name for it is "partial 16S ribosomal RNA". It matches the Rfam family "Bacterial small subunit ribosomal RNA", at positions 527 to 896 of the family's 1533-position model. The record is from RNAcentral.
GUAGGUGGCAAGCGUUGUCCGGAAUUAUUGGGCGUAAAGCGCGCGCAGGCGGUUCUUUAAGUCUGAUGUGAAAGCCCACGGGCUCAACCGUGGAGGGUCAUUGGAAACUGGAGAACUUGAGUACAGAAGAGGAAAGCGGAAUUCCACGUGUAGCGGUGAAAUGCGUAGAGAUGUGGAGGAACACCAGUGGCGAAGGCGGCUUCUGGUCUGUAACUGACGCUGAGGCGCGAAAGCGUGGGGAGCAAACAGGAUUAGAUACCCUGGUAGUCCACGCCGUAAACGAUGAGUGCUAAGUGUUAGGGGGUUUCCGCCCCUUAGUGCUGCAGCUAACGCAUUAAGCACUCCGCCUGGGGAGUACGGCCGCAAAGGCUG